Molecule: long non-coding RNA, 2042 nt
Organism: Gasterosteus aculeatus aculeatus (three-spined stickleback)
Lineage: Eukaryota; Metazoa; Chordata; Actinopteri; Perciformes; Gasterosteidae
Source: Ensembl
AUGAGGAUCAGCAACUGACAGAGGCUGCAUGGCAGGGAGUUGAGCGAGAGGCUGGAGAGGAAAGAGGACAAACAAAACGGUUGCCAUACGAGAGUCACAAAGCAAAGAAACUGCUCGGCACUGCCGGAGGGAGGGAAGCGGCUGGAGAGAACCUUGGACCGCCGUGGACAACAAGGGGGCUUCCUCACCGUUGGUGACCAGGAACGACAAAUCCUCGCGGAAACACCUCUCCCGACUUCUGCAGUCCAGAGCCAUACGAGUUUUCUGAUGGAUUUGAUUGAAGAGCUCCGAUGGUCUUCGGCUCAAGGUGGGGCUCCGCCGCUGCUCCGCCUCGGCCGUCUUCACACGCCCCACCGCGUUGAUGCGGAAGCCCUCUCCACGUGGCCUUAAAAAUGCGGCUCAACUGCAACGAGAGAGCAGAUUCUCCCAUCUGUAUCCAGAUCUCCUUCAACAGACCGCAGGAGAAAAAUAGUUUAGCUGACAACUGCUGUGUUAUAUGAGUGGUGUAAUGUGUGGCAACGGCAUUCAGGAAGUGUUUUUGCAUCUGUGUGGAAGUGCGUGAAGCGAAAAGAGAAGUGGAGCGCCGCUGUGUUGGUCGAGCGUUCCCCCUGUGAUCUCCCACGCCAGCGAAACUGCUGACUGGCACUUUGCAGCACAGACAUGGAGAGCAUGCACAAUGUAAAGCUUCACACGCCACACACACACACACACACACCUCUGGGAGGCUUACUUGGCUCUACAUGGAGCUCUGGUUAUCAGCCAGCAGCUUCUGCAAACGACCCAUCAUCACACUCUUCACCUGGCAGUGUCUCGACAGUCCAUCCUUUUACAGCUCCACUGUGAAAAACGUGCGUGUGUGUGCAGGUGUUAGUGUGUAUGCGCAGAGGGCCUCGGUCCAGCCAUUACGUCUCGUGAAAGGCUUCUUCAUUUGUAACUGUAUAACGUGUUCCAACAUCAUGUCCACGGAUGUAUUACUUUUCCAUAUUACCUCAUGUUUUGAUGCCUCGAGUACAGAAAACUUAAAAGUUUAGGCUGGAACUGAAGCCCGAUGACCAGUAACUAGUUACUAAAUGAUUCUUAGUCAAUCACUCAAUGGAAAUUUUGACAUAUUUAUGCCCGCUCAUCGCGGCUUAAUUGGUUGCAAGUUUGCCGAGCCAGGAUGAGGAGGGGGAGCUAAGUCAAGCUAAGUCAAUCCAGGUGUAGAUAGCUGGGAUAAGUGCGCGUCCACGGCUUUCACAGAUUUACUGAUGUUGAAAUAAAGAAGACUCCAUGUACGUCAUAUUUUUUCCCCUGCUGAGCAACAACUAAUGAUGAGAAGGUGAAGCAUAUGUUAUGCAAAAAAUAGAAAAUACGGCACCUGUAAGAGAAAAGGCCUGACAGACAAUCGACUAAUGAAGGAUUUAAAAAUAUCUGCUUAAUAGGAAAGUUGCACACUGUGUUUUAAUUGCUUUUAAUAUGCUUGUUUUAUGUGUUGCUCUUAUUGCUGUAUCUGUGUUUAUGCCCUAAAUGUGCCGGUUUUACUGUAAAGUGUCUGAGUAGCCUACCAUGUAAAGCACUAUAUAAAUAUAAUGUAUUAUUAUUUAGCCUACUUUGCCUUAAGAGUGAGCAGAGGGAAUUCAUGUUUCCUAAAGACUAAUUUACCCUCAAGACUAGGCCUAAUUUCAAACCCUUAUGCACAAAGCUCUGUCUAAUUCUGAAUAGCUUUCUACAAUUAAUGUUCAUACAGAACAAACAAGGCUGGACAGAAAGAUAAAAUGUACAAAAACAUUUGCGGGCUAGUAAAUUUAUAAGAUGCCUGCUCACAUAUUUUAUCUAAUUUUGUAAUCUAUAAUUCAUGUUACCUGCAAUCUCUGAUGUAACACAUUCUUCAGUGACCAGGGAAGGUAAUAAAGAUGUGUGCCAAGGACUGCAGUGCCAAACACAGACUUCUGACUAAUAGGGACUUUAAUUUACAGUUCCGGCAUCUCCCACGGCAUAUAAGGACAUGCCACACAGACCGUCUGUGGGAUGGUGAGAGCAUGGCUUUGCGCCGUGUGUCUGAU